This 253-nucleotide ribosomal RNA is filed under the name uncultured bacterium. RNAcentral describes it as "partial 16S ribosomal RNA". It matches the Rfam family "Bacterial small subunit ribosomal RNA", at positions 524 to 776 of the family's 1533-position model. The record is from RNAcentral.
GACGUAGGGGGCGAGCGUUGUCCGGAUUUAUUGGGCGUAAAGCGCGCGUAGGCGGCUGCGCAAGUCGGGUGUGAAACCCCGGGGCUCAACCCCGGAACUGCAUCCGAUACUGCGUGGCUAGAGGUAGGUAGGGGAGAUCGGAAUUCCUGGUGUAGCGGUGAAAUGCGCAGAUAUCAGGAGGAACACCGGUGGCGAAGGCGGAUCUCUGGGCCUUACCUGACGCUCAGGCGCGAAAGCUAGGGGAGCGAACAGG